GACGAACGCUGGCGGCGUGCUUAACACAUGCAAGUCGAGCGGUAAGGCCCUUUUGGGGGUACACGAGCGGCGAACGGGUGAGUAACACGUGGGUGACCUGCCCUCAGCUCUGGGAUAAGCCUGGGAAACUGGGUCUAAUACUGGAUAUGACCCUUUCCUCGCAUGGGGUUGGGUGGAAAGUUUUUUCGGCUGGGGAUGGGCCCGCGGCCUAUCAGCUUGUUGGUGGGGUGAUGGCCUACCAAGGCGACGACGGGUAGCCGGCCUGAGAGGGCGACCGGCCACACUGGGACUGAGACACGGCCCAGACUCCUACGGGAGGGCAGCAGUGGGAAUAUUGCGCAAUGGGCGGAAGCCUGACGCAGCGACGCCGCGUGGGGAUGACGCC
RNAcentral lists this ribosomal RNA (385 nucleotides) under uncultured bacterium. Its description in RNAcentral is "bacterial SSU rRNA". It matches the Rfam family "Bacterial small subunit ribosomal RNA", at positions 28 to 415 of the family's 1533-position model. The record is from RNAcentral.